CCUGGUGUCCAUGGCGCUGUGGCCCCACACCGAUCCAUCCCGAACUCGGUUGUGAAACGCAGCAGCGGCGACGAUAGUUGGGGGUAGCCCCCUGAGAAAAUAGCUCGAUGCCAGGU
This 116-nucleotide ribosomal RNA is filed under the name Synechococcus sp. RSCCF101. Lineage: Bacteria; Bacillati; Cyanobacteriota; Cyanophyceae; Synechococcales; Synechococcaceae. The record is from RNAcentral.